Molecule: ribosomal RNA, 915 nt
Filed under: uncultured archaeon
Lineage: Archaea
Description: bacterial SSU rRNA
Rfam family: Archaeal small subunit ribosomal RNA
Source: RNAcentral
UCCGGUUGAUCCUGCCGGACCUUACUGCUAUCGGGUUGAGACUGAGCCAUGCAAGUCGAGCGUUUUCAAGCUAUGUUGAAAGCGCGGCAUAAGGCUCCGUAACACGUAGUUAACCUACCCUCAGGAUGGAGAUAACCCCUGGGAAACUGGGACUAAUAUCCAAUAAAUGAUUAUGCCUGGAAUGGUUUAUCAUUGAAAGGGCUGAAUACAUGCUUUCAGUAUCACCUGAGGAUGGGACUGCGUCCGAUCAGGUUGUUGGCGGGGUAACGGCCCACCAAGCCUAUAACCGGUACGGGCCCUGAGAGGGGGAGCCCGGAGAUGGAAACUGAGACAAGGUUCCAGGCCCUACGGGGCGCAGCAGGCGCGAAACCUCCACAAUGCGCGAAAGCGUGAUGGGGUUAGCCCGAGUGCUGUCCGAAAAGGAUGGCUUUUCCUUGGCGUAAAAACCCAGGGGAAUAAAGGGGGGGCAAGACUGGUGUCAGCCGCCGCGGUAAUACCAGCCCCCUGAGUGGUAAGGACGAUUAUUUGGCUUAAAGCGUCCGUAGCCGGCUUAGUGAGUCUCCUGUUAAAUCCAAUGAUUCAAUCAUUGAACUGCAAGAGAUACUACUAUGCUAGAGGACGGGAGAGGUCGACGGUAGUCCAAGGGUAGGGGUGAAAUCCUAUAAUCCGUGGAGGACCACCAGUGGCGAAUGCGGUCGACUAGAACGUGCCUGACGGUGAGGGACGAAAGCUGGGGGAGCGAACCGGAUUAGAUACCCGGGUAGUCACAGCUGUAAACGAUGCCGGGCUAGGUAUAAGGGCAGCUACGAGCUGCUCUGUGCGGAGAGAAAUCGUUGAUUCCCGCGGCUGAUGAGUACGAUGAGAGAUGAAACUGGAGGUAUGGCGCGUGAGCACCACAUUGAGAGAAUGCUGGGA